Molecule: ribosomal RNA, 460 nt
Filed under: uncultured bacterium
Lineage: Bacteria
Description: partial 16S ribosomal RNA
Rfam family: Bacterial small subunit ribosomal RNA
Source: RNAcentral
CCUACGGGUGGCAGCAGUGAGGAAUAUUGGUCAAUGGACGAGAGUCUGAACCAGCCAAGUAGCGUGAAGGAUGACUGCCCUAUGGGUUGUAAACUUCUUUUAUAAAGGAAUAAAACGAGGCACGUGUGCCUUUUCGCAUGUACUUUAUGAAUAAGGAUCGGCUAACUCCGUGCCAGCAGCCGCGGUAAUACGGAGGAUCCGAGCGUUAUCCGGAUUUAUUGGGUUUAAAGGGAGCGUAGAUGGGUUGUUAAGUCAGUUGUGAAAGUUUGCGGCUCAACCGUAAAAUUGCAAUUGAUACUGGCAGUCUUGAGUACAGUUGAGGUAGGCGGAAUGCGUGGUGUAGCGGUGAAAUGCAUAGAUAUCACGAAGAACCCCGAUUGCGAAGGCAGCUUACUAAACUGUGACUGACAUUGAUGCUCGAAAGUGUGGGGAUCAAACAGGAUUAGAUACCCUGGUAGUC